GACGAACGCUGGCGGCGUGCUUAACACAUGCAAGUCGAACGGUAAGGCCCUUCGGGGUACACGAGUGGCGAACGGGUGAGUAACACGUGGGUGGUCUGCCCUGCACUUCGGGAUAAGCCUGGGAAACUGGGUCUAAUACCGGAUAGGACCACUGCCUGCAUGGGUGGUGGUGGAAAGCUUUUGCGGUGUGGGAUGGGCCCGCGGCCUAUCAGCUUGUUGGUGGGGUGAUGGCCUACCAAGGCGACGACGGGUAGCCGGCCUGAGAGGGUGACCGGCAACACUGGGACUGAGAUACGGCCCAGACUCCUACGGGAGGCAGCAGUGGGGAAUAUUGCACAAUGGGCGCAAGCCUGAUGCAGCGACGCCGCGUGAGGGAUGACGGCCUUCGGGUUGUAAACCUCUUUCAGCACCGACGAAGCGCAAGUGACGGUAGGUGCAGAAGAAGGACCGGCCAACUACGUGCCAGCAGCCGCCGUAA
Molecule: ribosomal RNA, 478 nt
Filed under: uncultured bacterium
Lineage: Bacteria
Description: partial 16S ribosomal RNA
Rfam family: Bacterial small subunit ribosomal RNA
Source: RNAcentral